Molecule: ribosomal RNA, 253 nt
Filed under: uncultured bacterium
Lineage: Bacteria
Description: partial 16S ribosomal RNA
Rfam family: Bacterial small subunit ribosomal RNA
Source: RNAcentral
UACGGAGGGUGCAAGCGUUAUCCGGAUUCAUUGGGUUUAAAGGGUGCGUAGGCGGGAUGAUAAGUCAGUGGUGAAAUCCUACAGCUUAACUGUAGAACUGCCAUUGAUACUGUUGUUCUUGAGUCUGGCUGAGGUUGGCGGAAUGUGGCAUGUAGCGGUGAAAUGCAUAGAUAUGCCACAGAACACCUAUCGCGAAGGCAGCUAACCAAACCAGUACUGACGCUGAGGCACGAAAGCGUGGGGAGCGAACAGG